RNAcentral lists this ribosomal RNA (604 nucleotides) under Penicillium pedernalense. RNAcentral describes it as "partial large subunit ribosomal RNA". It matches the Rfam family "Eukaryotic large subunit ribosomal RNA", at positions 42 to 661 of the family's 3401-position model. The record is from RNAcentral. Lineage: Eukaryota; Fungi; Ascomycota; Eurotiomycetes; Eurotiales; Aspergillaceae.
UUCCAUUAGCUGAGGAAAAGAAACCAACAGGGAUUGCCUCAGUAACGGCGAGUGAAGCGGCAAGAGCUCAAAUUUGAAAGCUGGCUCCUUCGGGGUCCGCAUUGUAAUUUGCAGAGGAUGCUUCGGGAGUGGCCCCCAUCUAAGUGCCCUGGAACGGGCCGUCAUAGAGGGUGAGAAUCCCGUCUGGGAUGGGGUGUCCACGCCCGUGUGAAGCUCCUUCGACGAGUCGAGUUGUUUGGGAAUGCAGCUCUAAAUGGGUGGUAAAUUUCAUCUAAAGCUAAAUACUGGCCGGAGACCGAUAGCGCACAAGUAGAGUGAUCGAAAGAUGAAAAGCACUUUGAAAAGAGAGUUAAACAGCACGUGAAAUUGUUGAAAGGGAAGCGCUUGCGACCAGACUCGCCCACGGGGUUCAGCCGGCAUUCGUGCCGGUGUACUUCCCCGCGGGCGGGCCAGCGUCGGUUUGGGCGGCCGGUCAAAGGCCCUCGGAAUGUAACGCCCCCCGGGGCGUCUUAUAGCCGAGGGUGCCAUGCGGCCAGCCCGGACCGAGGAACGCGCUUCGGCUCGGACGCUGGCAUAAUGGUCGUAAGCGACCCGUCUUGAACCC